UACAGAGGGGGCAAGCGUUGUUCGGAAUUACUGGGCGUAAAGGGCUCGUAGGUGGCCAACUAAGUCAGACGUGAAAUCCCCAGGCUUAACCUGGGAACUGCGUCUGAUACUGGAUGGCUUGAAUUCGGGAGAGGGAUGCAGAAUUCCAGGUGUAGCGGUGAAAUGCGUAGAUAUCUGGAGGAAUACCGGUGGCGAAGGCGGCAUCCUGGACCGAUAUUGACACUGAUGAGCGAAAGCCAGGGGAGCAAACGGG
RNAcentral lists this ribosomal RNA (253 nucleotides) under uncultured bacterium. RNAcentral's name for it is "partial 16S ribosomal RNA". It matches the Rfam family "Bacterial small subunit ribosomal RNA", at positions 524 to 776 of the family's 1533-position model. The record is from RNAcentral.